This 229-nucleotide ribosomal RNA is filed under the name uncultured bacterium. RNAcentral describes it as "partial 16S ribosomal RNA". It matches the Rfam family "Bacterial small subunit ribosomal RNA", at positions 568 to 796 of the family's 1533-position model. The record is from RNAcentral.
UCCGUAGGCGGGUAAUUAAGUCAGAGGUGAAAUCCCACAGCUUAACUGUGGAACUGCCUUAGAUACUGGUUAUCUUGAGUUUUAGUGAAGUAGAUAGAAUGUGUAGUGUAGCGGUGAAAUGCAUAGAUGUUACACAGAAUACCGAUUGCGAAGGCAGUCUACUAACUAACAACUGACGCUAAUGGACGAAAGCGUGGGGAGCGAACAGGAUUAGAUACCCUGGUAGUCC